AUUGAACGCUAGCGGGAUGCCUUACACAUGCAAGUCGAACGGAGUGGCGAACGGGUGAGUAAUGUAUCGGAACGUGCCCAGUAGCGGGGGAUAACUACGCGAAAGCGUAGCUAAUACCGCAUACUAUUGGAGCGGCCGAUAUCGGAUUAGCUAGUUGGUGGGGUAACGGCUCACCAAGGCGACGAACCGUAGCUGGUUUGAGAGGACGACCAGCCACACUGGGACUGAGACACGGCCCAGACUCCUACGGGAGGCAGCAGUGGGGAAUUUUGGACAAUGGGGGAAACCCUGAUCCAGCCAUCCCGCGUGUGCGAUGAAGGCCUUCGGGUUGUAAAGCUCUGUUAAUCGGGACGCGGUACCGGAAUAGAAAGCCACGGCUAACUACGUGCCAGCAGCCGCGGUAAUAC
This 407-nucleotide ribosomal RNA is filed under the name uncultured bacterium. RNAcentral's name for it is "partial 16S ribosomal RNA". It matches the Rfam family "Bacterial small subunit ribosomal RNA", at positions 30 to 526 of the family's 1533-position model. The record is from RNAcentral.